This 253-nucleotide ribosomal RNA is filed under the name uncultured bacterium. RNAcentral's name for it is "partial 16S ribosomal RNA". It matches the Rfam family "Bacterial small subunit ribosomal RNA", at positions 524 to 776 of the family's 1533-position model. The record is from RNAcentral.
UACAGAGGGUGCGAGCGUUGUCCGGAAUCACUGGGCGUAAAGAGCUCGUAGGCGGUCUGUCGCGUCUGCUGUGAAAACCUGGGGCUUAACCCCGGGCCUGCAGUGGGUACGGGCAGACUAGAGUGUGGUAGGGGAGACUGGAAUUCCUGGUGUAGCGGUGAAAUGCGCAGAUAUCAGGAGGAACACCAGCGGCGAAGGCGGCGAUCUGGGCCAGUACUGACGCUGAGGAGCGAAAGCGUGGGGAGCGAACAGG